This 401-nucleotide ribosomal RNA is filed under the name uncultured bacterium. RNAcentral's name for it is "bacterial SSU rRNA". It matches the Rfam family "Bacterial small subunit ribosomal RNA", at positions 28 to 420 of the family's 1533-position model. The record is from RNAcentral.
GACGAACGCUGGCGGCAUGCCUAACACAUGCAAGUCGAGCGAGCUGAUCCCUUUGGGGUGAAGCUAGCGGCGGACGGGUGAGUACACGUGGGCGAACCUGCCUCAUAGAGGGGAAGUAGCCUCCCGAAAGGGAGAUUAAUACCGCAUAAGAUUGUAGCUUCGCAUGAAGUAGUAAUUAAAGGAGCAAUCCGCUAUGAGAUGGGCCCGCGGCGCAUUAGCUAGUUGGUGAGGUAACGGCUCACCAAGGCGACGAUGCGUAGCCGACCUGAGAGGGUGAUCGGCCGACAUUGGGACUGAGACACGGGCCCAGACUUCCUACGGGAGGCAGCAGUUGGGGAAUAUUGCACAAUGGGGGGAAACCCUGAUGCAGCAAUUGCCGCGUAGAGUGAUGACGGGCCUUC